GUGAGGAAUAUUGGUCAAUGGACGGAAGUCUGAACCAGCCAUGCCGCGUGAAGGAUGAAGGCGUUCUGCGUUGUAAACUUCUUUUAUUUAGGAAGAAACCACCGAUUUCUAUUGGUGUUGACGGUAUUAAAUGAAUAAGCACCGGCUAACUCCGUGCCAGCAGCCGCGGUAAUACGGAGGGUGCGAGCGUUAUCCGGAUUUACUGGGUUUAAAGGGUGCGCAGGCGGUCUUAUAAGUCCGGGGUGAAAUACUACAGCUCAACUGUAGAACUGCCUUGGAUACUGUAGGACUUGAAUCGAGUAUAGGUCAGCGGAAUACAACAUGUAGCGGUGAAAUGCAUAGAUAUGUUGUGGAACACCGAUUGCGAAGGCAGCUGACUGGGCUUGAAUUGACGCUCAGGCACGAAAGCGUGGGUAGCGAACAGGAUUAGAAACCCUGGUAGUCC
RNAcentral lists this ribosomal RNA (445 nucleotides) under uncultured bacterium. Its description in RNAcentral is "partial 16S ribosomal RNA". It matches the Rfam family "Bacterial small subunit ribosomal RNA", at positions 354 to 796 of the family's 1533-position model. The record is from RNAcentral.